UCGAGGAUCUUCGGCAAUGAGCGCAAGCUUGACCGAGCGACGCCGCGUGGAGGAUGAAGGCCUUCGGGUUGUAAACUCCUUUGGUGGGGGAGGAAAUUUGACCUAUCCCAAGAACAAGCACGGGCUAAGUUCGUGCCAGCAGCCGCGGUAAGACGAACCGUGCGAACGUUAUUCGGAAUCACUGGGCUUAAAGGGUGUGUAGGUGGUCUGUCAAGUCAGGGGUGAAAUCCUUCGGCUUAACCGGAGAAUAGCCCCUGAUACUGAUGAGCUUGAGGGAGAUAGAGGCAGCCGGAACUACCGGUGGAGCGGUGAAAUGCGUUGAUAUCGGUAGGAACGCCAGAGGUGUAAACGGGCUGCUGGAUCUCUUCUGACACUGAGACACGAAAGCUAGGGUAGCGAACGGGAUUAGAUACCCCCGUAGUCC
Molecule: ribosomal RNA, 424 nt
Filed under: uncultured bacterium
Lineage: Bacteria
Description: bacterial SSU rRNA
Rfam family: Bacterial small subunit ribosomal RNA
Source: RNAcentral